GUCUAAAUAGUUUAAGUGGAAAAUGUUGGUUUGUGGUGCCAGUGAUGUAGGUUUUAUUUUAGAUU
RNAcentral lists this transfer RNA (65 nucleotides) under Stylotermes sp. Chi-131. RNAcentral describes it as "tRNA-His". The record is from RNAcentral. Lineage: Eukaryota; Metazoa; Arthropoda; Insecta; Blattodea; Stylotermitidae.